UACGUAGGGGGCAAGCGUUGUCCGGAAUCAUUGGGCGUAAAGCGCGUGUAGGCGGCUCGAUAAGUCCGCUGUGAAAGUCCAGGGCUCAACCCUGGAAUGCCGGUAGAUACUGUCGGGCUCGAGUCCGGAAGAGGCGAGUGGAAUUCCUGGUGUAGCGGUGAAAUGCGCAGAUAUCAGGAGGAACACCGAUGGCGAAGGCAGCUCGCUGGGACGGUACUGACGCUGAGACGCGAAAGCGUGGGGAGCAAACAGG
This 253-nucleotide ribosomal RNA is filed under the name uncultured bacterium. RNAcentral's name for it is "partial 16S ribosomal RNA". It matches the Rfam family "Bacterial small subunit ribosomal RNA", at positions 524 to 776 of the family's 1533-position model. The record is from RNAcentral.